Molecule: non-coding RNA, 108 nt
Organism: Ricinus communis (castor bean)
Lineage: Eukaryota; Viridiplantae; Streptophyta; Magnoliopsida; Malpighiales; Euphorbiaceae
Source: Rfam
GUAUCUAUGGUGUGGGCAUUGCAAUAGAAGUAAUUUGAAACGAUCUCAUGCUUCAUAAAAGGACUCAGUAUUCUUUUAAUAAAAAUUAAAAAAUUUAGCCCUUAAUUC